AUUCCAGCUCCAAUAGCGUAUACUAAAGUUGUUGCAGUUAAAAAGCUCGUAGUUGGAUUUCUGUUUUUAAAAAUCGGUCGUAACCUCACGGUUUCUGUACCAGGUUUCUUAAAUGCAUCCUCAGGGUUCUGUUAUCUGGUAUUAAUUUAUCGGAUUUCUGGUCCUUGUCAUUUACUGUGAGCAAAAUAGAGUGUUCAAAGCAGGCUUAGGCCAUGAAUACAUUAGCAUGGAAUAAUAAGAUAGGACCUUGGUCUAUUUUGUUGGUUUACAUUCCAAGGUAAUGAUUAAUAGGGAUAGUUGGGGGUAUUCGUAUUCAAUUGUCAGAGGUGAAAUUCUUGGAUUUAUGGAAGACGAACUUCUGCGAAAGCAUUUGCCAAGGAUGUUUUCAUUG
Molecule: ribosomal RNA, 391 nt
Filed under: Chrysophyceae sp.
Lineage: Eukaryota; Chrysophyceae
Description: partial small subunit ribosomal RNA
Rfam family: Eukaryotic small subunit ribosomal RNA
Source: RNAcentral